Sinocyclocheilus grahami is the source of this 77-nucleotide non-coding RNA. NCBI's taxonomy places the organism in Eukaryota, Metazoa, Chordata, Actinopteri, Cypriniformes, Cyprinidae. The record is from the annotation of a RefSeq genome assembly.
GCACUGGUGGUACAGUGGUGAGCAUAGCUGCCUUCCAAGCAGUUGACCUGACCCGGGUUCGAUUCCCGGCCAAUGCA